GACGAACGCUGGCGGCGUGCUUAACACAUGCAAGUCGAACGGAAAGGCCCUGCUUUUGUGGGGUGCUCGAGUGGCGAACGGGUGAGUAACACGUGAGUAACCUGCCCUUUACUUUGGGAUAACUUCAGGAAACUGGGGCUAAUACCGGAUAGGAGCUCCUGCUGCAUGGUGGGGGUUGGAAAGUUUCGGCGGUUGGGGAUGGACUCGCGGCUUAUCAGCUUGUUGGUGGGGUAGUGGCUUACCAAGGCUUUGACGGGUAGCCGGCCUGAGAGGGUGACCGGCCACAUUGGGACUGAGAUACGGCCCAGACUCCUACGGGAGGCAGCAGUGGGGAAUAUUGCACAAUGGGCGGAGGCCUGAUGCAGCAACGCCGCGUGCGGGAUGACGGCCUUCGGGUUGUAAACCGCUUUCGCCUGUGACGAAGCGUGAGUGACGGUAAUGGGUAAAGAAGCACCGGCUAACUACGUG
RNAcentral lists this ribosomal RNA (468 nucleotides) under uncultured bacterium. Its description in RNAcentral is "partial 16S ribosomal RNA". It matches the Rfam family "Bacterial small subunit ribosomal RNA", at positions 28 to 507 of the family's 1533-position model. The record is from RNAcentral.